RNAcentral lists this ribosomal RNA (423 nucleotides) under Salmonella enterica. RNAcentral describes it as "partial 16S ribosomal RNA". It matches the Rfam family "Bacterial small subunit ribosomal RNA", at positions 1 to 422 of the family's 1533-position model. Lineage: Bacteria; Pseudomonadati; Pseudomonadota; Gammaproteobacteria; Enterobacterales; Enterobacteriaceae. The record is from RNAcentral. RNAcentral also lists the same sequence under 1 other name.
AAAUUGAAGAGUUUGAUCAUGGCUCAGAUUGAACGCUGGCGGCAGGCCUAACACAUGCAAGUCGAACGGUAGCACAGAGAGCUUGCUCUCGGGUGACGAGUGGCGGACGGGUGAGUAAUGUCUGGGAAACUGCCCGAUGGAGGGGGAUAACUACUGGAAACGGUAGCUAAUACCGCAUAACGUCGCAAGACCAAAGUGGGGGACCUUCGGGCCUCACACCAUCGGAUGUGCCCAGAUGGGAUUAGCUAGUAGGUGGGGUAACGGCUCACCUAGGCGACGAUCCCUAGCUGGUCUGAGAGGAUGACCAGCCACACUGGAACUGAGACACGGUCCAGACUCCUACGGGAGGCAGCAGUGGGGAAUAUUGCACAAUGGGCGCAAGCCUGAUGCAGCCAUGCCGCGUGUAUGAAGAAGGCCUUCGGG